CGCAUCGAUGAAGAACGCAGCGAAAUGCGAUAAGUAAUGUGAAUUGCAGAAUUCAGUGAAUCAUCGAAUCUUUGAACGCACCUUGCGCUCCUUGGUAUUCCGAGGAGCAUGCCUGUUUGAGUGUCAUUA
Molecule: ribosomal RNA, 129 nt
Filed under: Typhula sp.
Lineage: Eukaryota; Fungi; Basidiomycota; Agaricomycetes; Agaricales; Typhulaceae
Description: 5.8S ribosomal RNA
Rfam family: 5.8S ribosomal RNA
About the family: 5.8S ribosomal RNA (5.8S rRNA) is a component of the large subunit of the eukaryotic ribosome. It is transcribed by RNA polymerase I as part of the 45S precursor that also contains 18S and 28S rRNA.
Source: RNAcentral